RNAcentral lists this long non-coding RNA (1952 nucleotides) under Podarcis lilfordi (Lilford's wall lizard). Lineage: Eukaryota; Metazoa; Chordata; Lepidosauria; Squamata; Lacertidae. The record is from RNAcentral.
CAGCAGAUCGCCAAGGUUUCAGGCAGGAAAUUGCCCCAACCCUGCCAGGAGAUGUUGGGGAUUGAAUUUGGGACCACCUACAUGUCCAGCAGAUGCUCUACCCCUGGGCUAUGGUGUGCUGGUGAGGAUCACAAGCUGUGCAGAUGCCCUGCUUGUGGACUGGAUUUCUGUCCUUAUAUAAAUCAAUCAGAGGCUUUGUGGAAAAGCCAGGUUUUGCCCUGAUUCCAUAAGGCCAGCACCAUUUCUGCUCCUACAAAUUCUUAGAUGCUGAGCAGAAGGUGUAUGGGGGCAAAUCAAUAAGGUGAUUCUCACAAUCAAGGGCUUUAAAGCUCAGAAAUAUCCCCUUAAAUCAAGCCUGGAAGCAAGGAGGCAGCCAAUGAAGAUCCAACAAAAUUAUGAAUGACAUGGUCCAAUUAGCCAACACCAGUCUACAAUCUGGCAUCAAGAUUUCUUAAUGCUUUUUAAGGGAUGUCCCAGAUAGAGUGCAUUGCAGUAGUCUAACCUUGAGUUUACCAGAGCCUAAUUAUUACAUUGUGUGUGCUGAGUGUGCCCUCUAAUGCACCCAACUCUCCCUUGUGUUUGCACACAUGAAAGGAAGAUUAACAGUGGUAGGCAAGUUCUUUUUUCCGGAGAACUGUUACCCUGGCACACAUUUUGAGAGCUCCUGGCUUGGGCUCUUAUGAGCUCUAAUAGAGGCACAGUUCUUAACUUCGUAAUUUGACUUUCCCUUGUGAGCAAUUUUUCUUGACAAUUAUGCGUAUAUGAUACGUCCCUCUGCAUAUUUCAUAAUCAUCUGAGCAGAAUACUGAGGGUUCGUUUCAGAGAUUUGCAGAAAAGUACUCCUUUUAAAAAGUCAUGUUUUAUUUAAGAAAGCCAUCUUUUUCAUGGAGAGUCUUUACCACUGACUGUGCAAAAAGAGCCUUUGAGCGUGAUCAAAAGUCCUUCCCUGCAAUAAAUGAGAUGCAUCUUUCCCCUAUCUCUCCUCAGCCCUCUCUGUGCAUUUGUCACAGUUUGUUCCUUUAUCCUUGACUUGCAGGGCCCCAAAUCUCCCAGCAUCCUUUGCCUGAUCUUCACCCACAGCCUCCUCCAUCCCUUAUCGAAGUCACACUGCUCUCCUAAUUCUUGCACGAAAGCAACACUGCUAUGUCCUUGAGCAGAGCAGAAAUAAUCAAAUAUUCUCCCCGGGCUCAGAUAUCCUCUUCUUCACUGCAUGCUCUAGGAAACCAAUCUUGAAGUGCAACACCAAAUGGAACACUCUGAUACGCAGCUCUGUGGUAGACAUCAUGAAAUAGGCCUUCAGAACCCAUCGGCCAGAGAUGGAGAACCUGCUGGACUACAACUCCCAUCAUCCCUGACAAUGCUGGUCAAUAUUCUACUUGGAUCAAUGACUUUUCAGAGCAGCAGUUGGCUAUAAAGUAUAGGACACAGCACUUGAAACAUCUUCAGUAUUUGGGGAAUGGAUAAUAGAGUGAAGAGGCCUCUUCAGAAUAUGGAAUUCCUUAUCCAUCUUUUAUUGGUGGACUAUGCGUUAAUCCUGGACCUUCAAAAUGCACGGCGUAUUAUUAACGUCUUGUUUCUCUGCCCUGGCUGAAUGAGCCAUGUAAGCGCUUCUGGUGCAAAUUAACCAAGAGAAGCCUUUAAAAUCCACCCUUUUCUUUGCAAAUAUUAAUUCAAAACAUAGCUCGUCAAGUCAGAUGUAUAAUUAAAAUGGAUGUUUGAGCUUAGUGAAAGAGGAAGCUUUUUCUUUCAGAAGCAAGAGGAAUUCAAAGAAGCCAGUGCAGGGAGGAAGCUAGCCAGGGGUCCUCGCUUAGUGUCUGCUAGGAUGGACUUUCAUGCUGCUACUUAAUGCAGAAAGGUUUCUUAGUAGCUGUGGGAAAUGACUUGGCUAUCCCCCAUUUAUUACCAUAAGUUAUCACAGUGGUCAAAGGCAUGAGUUCAGUUAAACUCUCGUG